UCUCUCAAGCCCACUACCUACUGUCAGUAACUCUCUAUAUCUCCAUUUCCAGUAUAUGAAUAUAUGUGUGGAGAAUAGUUGCAUACCAAUAGUUAGAGUUGUUGGGAGAAGUUCAUAAUUAAUUUGUAUAACAAUCUUAACGAUAUGUUAUUAAUACCUUUUGUUCCUGUUUUGGUUGUCCUUUGUGAUGGAUCGUCAAGGCCGGAAGAUUGCUCGAAAUGUCAUGGCAAUG
This 232-nucleotide long non-coding RNA is filed under the name Linum usitatissimum (flax). RNAcentral's name for it is "long non-coding RNA (LUSI_LNC000379)". Lineage: Eukaryota; Viridiplantae; Streptophyta; Magnoliopsida; Malpighiales; Linaceae. The record is from RNAcentral.